GGGGGACACCGCUAAGGCAGAGCAGCCUUCUCCUCAGCACAGACCUUUGGGGCACUGCCUCGCUUUGGGACAACUCGGGACCGCAUAGACGGGAUCAUGGCACAAGUUGCAGUUUCCACCCUGCCAAUGGAAGAUGAGGAGUCCAUGGAAGAUGAGGAGUCCAUUGAAGAUGAGGAGUCUGUUGAAGAUGAUUCCGUGGAGAGCAGGAUGGUGGUAACAUUUCUCAUAUCAGCUCUCGAGUCCACGGAUCAUGGCACAAGUUGCAGUUUCCACCCUGCCCAUUGAAGAUGAGGAGUCUGUUGAAGAUGAGGAGUCCUUGGAGAGCAGGAUGGUGGUGACAUUCCUGUC
Molecule: long non-coding RNA, 348 nt
Filed under: Homo sapiens (human)
Lineage: Eukaryota; Metazoa; Chordata; Mammalia; Primates; Hominidae
Description: HSALNT0404752
Source: RNAcentral